GGCAACCUGGCCGAGUGGUCUAAGGCGCUAGAUUUAGGAACCUUUCAACGGUACACUUAUCUCUAGUCUUUCGGGGCGUGAGUUCGAAUCUCACGGUUGUCA
Cylindrobasidium torrendii FP15055 ss-10 is the source of this 102-nucleotide transfer RNA. It matches the Rfam family "tRNA". From Rfam's summary of the family: Transfer RNA (tRNA) molecules are approximately 80 nucleotides in length. Their secondary structure includes four short double-helical elements and three loops (D, anti-codon, and T loops). NCBI's taxonomy places the organism in Eukaryota, Fungi, Basidiomycota, Agaricomycetes, Agaricales, Physalacriaceae. The record is from Rfam.